RNAcentral lists this ribosomal RNA (231 nucleotides) under uncultured bacterium. Its description in RNAcentral is "partial 16S ribosomal RNA". It matches the Rfam family "Bacterial small subunit ribosomal RNA", at positions 99 to 334 of the family's 1533-position model. The record is from RNAcentral.
CGGACGGGUGAGUAAUGUCUGGGAAACUGCCUGAUGAGGGGGGAUAACUACUGGAAACGGUAGCUAAUACCGCAUAACGUCGCAAGACCAAGAGGGGGACCUUCGGGCCUCUUGCCAUCGGAUGUGCCCAGAUGGGAUUAGCUAGUAGGUGGGGUAAAGGCUCACCUAGGCGACGAUCCCUAGCUGGUCUGAGAGGAUGACCAGCCACACUGGAACUGAGACACGGUCCAG